RNAcentral lists this microRNA (23 nucleotides) under Salicornia europaea (common glasswort). RNAcentral's name for it is "seu-miR11027". Lineage: Eukaryota; Viridiplantae; Streptophyta; Magnoliopsida; Caryophyllales; Amaranthaceae. The record is from miRBase by way of RNAcentral.
UGGUAGAACAUUCUAGAGUAGAA